This 549-nucleotide long non-coding RNA is filed under the name Homo sapiens (human). RNAcentral describes it as "long non-coding RNA NONHSAT242891". The record is from RNAcentral. Lineage: Eukaryota; Metazoa; Chordata; Mammalia; Primates; Hominidae.
CUCUGGAAUCAUAGCAAGAGAGAGAGUGUCAGCCUUGGAUUUCUGCUUCCUUUCUCUCCUUAGCUAUAAAUUAUGGCUGCAUGGCCUGUCUAGUUCAGAGCGAAGGGACUAGGGAUCUAUUUAUUUUAGAUCUUUCUGAAGGGUUUGCUGUGGGAGUCUAAAAUAUUUAGUUAUCCCUUUGCUCAUGGCUUCACUUUAUUAGUAGGAAAAUUCACUGUAAUUGCAAGCUUUUAAAUUUACGGUGGAGAGAUAGUGAGUUUGUAGAAGAAAUAAAAGCCACACAUUCUUGGUUCUUUCAUAACAUGGGGAAAAUCAAUCACCACCUGGCUGGCAGCUCAGUUACUUGGGGCAAAAAUAACAAACUUCCAUAGGAACCAACCUAUGGAGGGUGACAGGAGCAGGGAUGAUUUUAAUUCUAAAGGGAGGAUCUUAGAGCAGAUGUCAUUCAUUGAUACUGCAUGGAUUCUGAUAAUUUAGCAUUGUUGAACAUUAGAGUAAUAAAAUGUAAUAAUAACAUAGCAAUGUUUGAUCUAUGUUGUUUGGUGGUGG